RNAcentral lists this long non-coding RNA (1682 nucleotides) under Linum usitatissimum (flax). RNAcentral describes it as "long non-coding RNA (LUSI_LNC004628)". Lineage: Eukaryota; Viridiplantae; Streptophyta; Magnoliopsida; Malpighiales; Linaceae. The record is from RNAcentral.
AAAUUUAAAACAUAUAGGUAGAUGCACAGUUAUCCGAAUCGAAUAAAAAGCGACUUACACAUUCCAUGUCUAUUACAAAAGUCAGAUAACAACUCGUUGUUCAAUUCAUCAUCAAGAAAAAACUUUUCAUAUGAUCAUUAUCAUCAUCGAACUAUAAAAAGGGCUCAUCAUGGCUUGCUCAUACUUAAAGGUACUGCCACCACAUUCAAAAGUGAAAACUCCCCUGGUCAUCCUUCUGUUCAGUUUUUACUCAUCACCAACAUAGCUACUUUAUGUAUCCAUAGUCUCAGCUCAAGAAAUCUUCCAAGCUUAUGGACCUGCAAUUAAAAAAAAAAUAACAGCAUAGUCCUAACAUCUCAAGCAACUCAUCGAUGAAUCCCACAUUCAACAUUCAUUUCAAUUUAGUUACGUUACACCAUGUUAAUGGCUGCUGCAUCUGGUUCUGUCCUUGCAUCUGCUCAAGUUCAAAUUCAGAAUGCAUUAAAGAGAGGAAAGCUUGUUGCGGAAAGGGUGUGCUCAGGGAUGUGUUAUGAAGCAUGUGUUCAGGGAUGGAUGGUUGCAUCUCACCCUUUGAUUCUCUACAUAACCACAUUGGAAAGCUUCCUCAAAUAGGUACCUGGAACAAAUAGAGAAAUAUUAACACUACAAUCAAACUAAUAACAUAAACAAUAUCAAAUCCAUGUCAUGACUUCAUUAAUUCUUAGUAGGGCAAGUGAUCAAAGUAUAUAGGCCAAAACAUGAAUCAAAGGUCUUCAAUUGCUUGCUUUGUAUAACUAUAUCAUCCAUCCACAUCCAUCACCAAAAUUAACCAUAGAAGUUCAUAAGACAACAAAAGAGCAGGCCAUAUGUGAAGUAGGGAGGUUAAAAUCCUACCGAUUUAAGCCAUAUGAUAUAAUCUGGAAGGCCACGUACCUGAUGUUGGUAUCUCUUGCAACAUUAUGAAGCUGUUCCUACAAUCGCCAUCAGCAGCGAAGAUACAUCCCUAGAAUCUAAGCUUCAAAGAUGAACGGAAAUUGAAACGACAAACAAAAGCCAGAGACUAAAGGGAGAAUGAUUAAAAAACUCACCACUCCCAAACGGCUCUGAUCUCUUUAAUCUGAUCGAGUGAUAACGUCAUCAUCCCCGCCGAUGGCAGCUGGUACCCAACUACGAUCUCCCCAUACCCCGUAUCAACAAAAUAUCAGCCACAAAUCCCACGCUGUGUUCACAGCCACCGACAAAGUCCUGAAAAAACCGCCACUUGCUUGCUCCACCAGCCGCCGCCAUCUUUCAAGUCAUCAUCCUGAACCUUGAAGAAAUUUUUGAAAUGGGUAGAGAAAAACCCGUGAAGUAUGGCGGGAUGGGAAUGAUAUUGUGGAUGAGAAGAGGGAGACAGAUAGAUGUAGCAAUCUCGGUGUGGAAGAGAAGAUGUGGUAACAUGCUGAAAGAUGGAAAUGCAGAGUCAGAGAGUAGAGGAGCAGGUGAAGAAACGCAGCAAGAGAGGGACCUUAAGACGCAAACCAACAGGCCCAAUUUCGCGAGAACACAAAAAAAGUCAACACGGGGAAAAAGAUAGUCAGCAGAGCCGAGUCUUCAAUCAGCUUCUUCAUCCUAAGGAAUCUCGAGAGAUGAUGACGUUUAAAUGAAAAAGAAAGAACAACCUCUAUAUGAUUAUGCAGAGGGGAAACGUGAAAAUAACGUAC